Molecule: long non-coding RNA, 982 nt
Filed under: Felis catus (domestic cat)
Lineage: Eukaryota; Metazoa; Chordata; Mammalia; Carnivora; Felidae
Description: lncRNA (ENSFCAG00000044440.2)
Source: RNAcentral
CUCUAGGGAGGUCAAAAUACUCAUGAACUUCACUAUCCAGUAGUGUUGAGAGUCACGGGGAGGGGAAAGAGAGAUAAGUAAAUAGCUUAGAAAAGUACCUACCACACAGCAAACACUCAAUAAUUGUUGUCAUUUUCUUUGGAUAGAAAAAUCAAGUUAUAAUGGGCACCUGGGUGGCUCAGCAGUGAAGUGCUCCACUCUUGACUUGGACUCAGGUCAUGGUCUUAUGAGAGGUUCCAGGUUGCAUGUGCUCUACAUGGGAGUUCACAGAGGGAAAUAAUUACGUGGCAACAAUACAACAGCUCUCAGACCUACCAUUUCCAAGCCCAUUGUCCCUAUGCUUUUGGUGGACAUUGCGUGGAGCUGGUUUUAAAGGUGUCCAGAGGACUUUAAGCAUGCUACUGCUUUGCACAAAUCAAGGCCAAAUUUCUCAAGCUUUCAGGCCCUACCACAUGCUCAUUAGAUGUGUCCAAUCUAAAGCAUUAAAUUAGAUGGUCAUUUUUCAAGAAGGUAACUCCAUAAGGAUAAAGCUGCCUGUUAUGUGGACCACAAAGCUAAAAGUCCAGUAGCCGUCAUGAGUCACCUAACCCUGAAGAAGGAAGGGCAUCACUGAGGCUGGAACAACAAAGAAACGACAGGAAGCUACAUCACAUCUCACCACGAAGAGCUGCCGCACCAGGCCUCGCCUGGCAACUCAGGAUGGCUUUUACACAUGUGUCAUGACGAGUCUGAUUCAUUUGUCUGUUGCUGUUGGUGGUGGUUUACUUUUUCCCUUCAGUUUUUAAAAUGAAUGAAGUAUAGUGGACAUAGAAUGUUAUACUAGUUGAUUCCAUUUUUUUUUACGUUUGACCACUUACAGCUUUCAAGGCUUGCCUCCCCACCUCCCCCAUGUCCACGCAUCUAGACAAGCUGAGAUGAAAUCUAGGUGCUCCCACCUUUGGUGCUGGCUAGCUCACCGUGUGAGCCUCAGCCUUAUCACACU